This 435-nucleotide ribosomal RNA is filed under the name uncultured bacterium. RNAcentral describes it as "bacterial SSU rRNA". It matches the Rfam family "Bacterial small subunit ribosomal RNA", at positions 33 to 514 of the family's 1533-position model. The record is from RNAcentral.
ACGCUGGCGGCAGGCCUAACACAUGCAAGUCGAGCGCCGUAGCAAUACGGAGCGGCAGACGGGAGAGUAACACGUGGGAACGUGCCCUUUGGUUCGGAACAACCCAGGGAAACUUGGGCUAAUACCGGAUAAGCCCUUACGGGGAAAGAUUUAUCGCCGAAGGAUCGGCCCGCGUCUGAUUAGCUAGUUGGUGGGGUAAUGGCCCACCAAGGCGACGAUCAGUAGCUGGUCUGAGAGGAUGAUCAGCCUCACUGGGACUGAGACACGGCCCAGACUCCUACGGGAGGCAGCAGUGGGGAAUAUUGGACAAUGGGCGCAAGCCUGAUCCAGCCAUGCCGCGUGGGUGAUGAAGGCCCUAGGGUUGUAAAGCCCUUUCGGCGGGGAAGAUAAUGACGGUACCCGCAGAAGAAGCCCCGGCUAACUUCGUGCCAGCAG